This 401-nucleotide transfer-messenger RNA is filed under the name Bacteroidales. RNAcentral's name for it is "Cryptobacteroides sp012522855 Standard tmRNA". It matches the Rfam family "transfer-messenger RNA". From Rfam's summary of the family: Bacterial tmRNA, also known as 10Sa RNA or SsrA, is named for its dual tRNA and mRNA-like properties. Its role is to liberate the mRNA from a stalled ribosome. Lineage: Bacteria; Pseudomonadati; Bacteroidota; Bacteroidia. The record is from RNAcentral. RNAcentral also lists the same sequence under 2 other names.
GGGGAUGUUCUGGUUUUGACAGCAUCGAUGCUGGACGGUAAGCACGUCGGGCUCUUCCGCGGUCGGCCCGUUAAUCCUGGUCACGGAAAAUUUAGUUGCCAAUAACAACUACGCACUCGCUGCCUAAUCUGAUCUCAGAUCAAUUAGCUUAAUCCGAGCCGCCUAGGUUGCGGUUCCGACGAGUAUCCCGCGGACUUCAAUCCUUCUCUGUCCGAGUUCGGGGUAUCAUUCAGGAAGGACGCUCCGGUGGACUCCUUUCAAGCCGGCUAAGAUUCAAAGGAUACGCCUCGGGUGGCCCGUCUUCCGGCAGCCCCCGGCCGACAACCAAAGGAAGAAUAAACGUGUAGAAAGCUGUUUGGUACGUUGUUUGGACGGCGGUUCGACUCCGCCCAUCUCCACAA